RNAcentral lists this ribosomal RNA (537 nucleotides) under uncultured Alphaproteobacteria bacterium. RNAcentral describes it as "bacterial SSU rRNA". It matches the Rfam family "Bacterial small subunit ribosomal RNA", at positions 8 to 563 of the family's 1533-position model. The record is from RNAcentral. Lineage: Bacteria; Pseudomonadati; Pseudomonadota; Alphaproteobacteria.
AGAGUUUGAUCCUGGCUCAGGACGAACGCUGGCGGCACGCUUAACACAUGCAAGUCGAACGAGAGAUCUGACUUCGGUUGGUGAUCUAGUGGCGCACGGGUGAGUAACGCGUGGGAAUCUACCCCAAGGUACGGGAUAACAGCUGGAAACGGCUGCUAAUACCGUAUGUGUCGUCUUGCCUGAGAGGGUGGGACGAGAAAGAUUUAUCGCCUUGGGAUGAGCCCGCGUUGGAUUAGCUAGUUGGUGGGGUAAAGGCCUACCAAGGCAACGAUCCAUAGCUGGUCUGAGAGGAUGAUCAGCCACACUGGAACUGAGACACGGUCCAGACUCCUACGGGAGGCAGCAGUGGGGAAUCUUGGACAAUGGGGGCAACCCUGAUCCAGCGAUGCCGCGUGAGUGAUGAAGGCCUUAGGGUUGUAAAACUCUUUUAUCCACGAAGAUGAUGACGGUAGUGGGUGAAUAAGCACCGGCUAACUCCGUGCCAGCAGCCGCGGUAAUACGGAGGGUGCUAGCGUUGUUCGGAUUUACUGGGCGUAA